UGCACCCUUGAACCAAGAGGUUUUUUUUACCAGUGUAGCUAAAAAUAUGAGGGUCCGUCCAAACCGCAGCCCUCUACGUUCAGUAUUGACCGAGACAUCGCCCUUCGAAAAUUCGGGAUUUCGACGUUAUCCUCCGCGGUAGUGACACCCAUGGUUUCUUGCACCUUGGGUAUCAGUCAGGGACAUAACUUAUCAUUAGUUACUCUGCGUGAAACGCGAAUGGAAAGCAAGGCGGAAAAAACAGGGGGUGUUAAUACCGCGGUGGUUGCCGUCAAAAACCUAACUUUUCUAUGCACAAUAUCUCGGUUAUUUUUGAACGUAGUAAGUCGCGCAUUAGACAGAUUAGCUAAACCACAAGGAUUAAGCAUCAAAACCAAAUUCUGUGACGUGCGUCCGGCGCAUUUUCAGCAAUAACUGAAAAUGAUCCAAGAACCAACACUAUACAGUCUCUGGUGGCGUAAUUCGCUCCAUUUGGCUUUUUCCGAAAUUUCUGCUUCGCACUUCGCAGCAGGAGCACUGUGCUCGCAGCGUCCCAUGAUUGUCGAUAGACGUCGCAGGUGAACUCUCACACUAUUGGUCCUCCCUGGAAGGCACGGGAGAAUGCAUCAAUAACAAGACCUGGAUUGCAAGUAAGUAAUCAAUUUAUCCUAAGUUCUAUAAUUGUUUCAAAAGUAAUUUACAAAAGUUGGACGCGUGUUGGAAGUAUCUGUAUUGGAAUUAUCAGUACGCGGUACUGGUUUAUUAGGCGGUUUGUUGUUAGUCAAUAAACAAGCAGUGGAUCACUCAAGAAAGUGAAUACUAAUAAAUUAAUGAAGAAAAUGACUUUGAUGAAAAUUGUAGGCAUGUGUAUUUUUCUUUGAUUCCAAAGAAAUUUAAAAAUAAACUAACUUCUUUCAGCGUGGCAGGGGUCCAACGCGUAACCUUCACGUAUAUUCUCCCACCAAUACAUGCAACCUGUCUUUCAUGCAGUCCUUUAAGCAGCCGAGCAAUUUGCUUAAAGUGCACUACCGGCAUUAUGCCUUCCACGCCCUUUUGGAGCGUCAUUAUUCUCAAAUCGGAGUCGAAAAAAUGGACGGGGGUAUACUGCGCUUUUACUCGUAGCUUAAGAUGGGGCGGGUUUAUCUGCGGAACUAUUAUAUUCUUAAGUUUUGUUCCCCACACUUCUUCGUUGGUGCUGUAACAUAGAACGGGUUGAAUUCUUGUAUUCUUUCGAGUUGGACGAAACUCCCAGUCCUUGAAUUAAAAAAAUCAACCCAGAUAUAAUCUUCUGAGUGCGGCUUCGUUUAAGGAAUGUCAUUACCUAUGGCGUUUAACAGGAAAUCACAUGGCCAUUAUAAAAAAUAUAGAACGGGAAAAAAGGGAAUAAAAUCAAAAGACACCAAGUGUAUCUUUCAUUUUCUCUGAAUAUUCAGCGGCUUUGCCAACAAAUUUGUUGGAGUUGUGUCCUUGGUUAGUACAAUGGACUAAUGGCAGAUUCUGAAAUAACGUGUGUCAGUUGCUUUUUACAAGAGCCAUGUUUUCGCUUGCAACCCAGUCUCGAAGGGAUUGCACAUCUCGCUUUAAUUUCGAUAUCUCGAAAGUCGAAACGUGCCCCGACAAACGAAUAUACGAACCUGCGGACGCCCAUUAUAUGCAUCGCAAGGUUACCCUUUGUUUUAAAUGCCUUUGAGGAAGACUCGAAAUACCCAUGCGCGUGUGGUGACUCCGCUUCGAAGGAGUUUCCCACUUGAGCAAUUACAAUAGGGUGGAGGGGGGGGGGCUGUCACUGAAAACAUCUUGCCUCGCUAAGUGAAAAUAAAUUAUAAUUUAUAGCAUCACAACAUCAAUCACCCCACACGGCUCCCUGAACCAUGGCACAUCGGGGAGAUCGUCGGAGGGAGUCCGUUCCCGUUGAAAUGACGGCAUAGGGUUCGCGGCGAGCGAGGCCCUCUUGAAGUGUGAAUACUAAAUUUAUAGAUCUCCUCCCGAGUCUAAAACACUGACGGUACAACCACGAUUUAUCUCUACGCAUAUGGAGUCUACCGAAGAAUUCAAAUGAUGCAGAUUAUAAAGGUACUCUAAUUAUCUACACAAAAUCCGAAAUUCAAAUCAUGGAAAA
Non-coding RNA from Bemisia tabaci, 2098 nucleotides. The record is from RefSeq and is a predicted model, not a curated record. NCBI's taxonomy places the organism in Eukaryota, Metazoa, Arthropoda, Insecta, Hemiptera, Aleyrodidae.